This 509-nucleotide long non-coding RNA is filed under the name Chinchilla lanigera (long-tailed chinchilla). RNAcentral describes it as "lncRNA (ENSCLAG00000023844.1)". Lineage: Eukaryota; Metazoa; Chordata; Mammalia; Rodentia; Chinchillidae. The record is from RNAcentral.
CUUUGUCUUUUUCCUUCUUUAUUUAUCAGACUUUAUCUCGUGAUGAAAUCACUGCUCUAAGAGUUAAUCUCAUUUGAACACUUACUCAGAAUCUAGCCAGCUGAGAGAACGCCACAGGCUAAUGUGGAAAGUCGCUGGAAACAGAAUCUAGGUUGAUUCUUCUGGACUGCCUUAAUCAUUAAUUCAUCUACUUGAGAAUUCAUUCAUCUUUAUUUCACCAUUACCUAAUGAGGAUAAUGGUGACUACGAAAAUUCAAAGGCUAAUCAUUUUUUUAAAGUCCAUUAAGAAUGGUGCUAUUUAAAGGAAGCAGUAAACCCCACCCGUCUCCCACAAAAUUCACAACCAAUUAAGAAACUGAUGCUGUAUUCAGAAACAUGAAGAUCACAAGGUAUGAUAGAAUGGAUUGAAGAAUGUUGAAUCCAAACUGCAUGAGCAGGUAAUUUGUUCAACUCAUAAUAACUGAGCAACAACUCUGUGACAGUCCUUACUUCAGAUCUUGUGAUUUGUA